This 74-nucleotide transfer RNA is filed under the name Vicugna pacos (alpaca). Its description in RNAcentral is "tRNA-Ala (AGC) (tRNA-Ala-AGC-537-1)". It matches the Rfam family "tRNA". From Rfam's summary of the family: Transfer RNA (tRNA) molecules are approximately 80 nucleotides in length. Their secondary structure includes four short double-helical elements and three loops (D, anti-codon, and T loops). Lineage: Eukaryota; Metazoa; Chordata; Mammalia; Artiodactyla; Camelidae. The record is from RNAcentral.
GGAGGGUAUAGCUCAAGUGGUAGAGCUCAUGCUUAGCAUGCAUGAGGUCCUGGGUUCAAUCCCCAGUACCUCCA